Magallana angulata is the source of this 317-nucleotide long non-coding RNA. RefSeq lists it as uncharacterized. The record is from RefSeq and is a predicted model, not a curated record. Lineage: Eukaryota; Metazoa; Mollusca; Bivalvia; Ostreida; Ostreidae. The transcript is spliced from 3 exons.
AAUCGUUUAAACAGUCGAACCUCGUCCGACAACAGCCAUGGCGGCCGCCAGCAGUAAUUUGACGUUCCUCGGCAUCAUCAUUUCGGUUUGAUCUGGUUUAAACUGCUUUGUUCCGCCAUUUUGCCUUCGAGGUGUCCCUUCUUGACAGCUGCGGUCAUGAUGAACUAGCGAAUCUGCGUCCAAUCCAUCACCAGAACGCUGAUAUCCAUAGACUGGAUUUCGACACUCCACAAGACACCCAUCUAGGCAACACUUCUGAAUCCCGGGACACUCCCUGUCUGUCCGGCACGACACCAGGCAAAUAGUUCCAACACCAG